UAGGGAAUCUUCCACAAUGGACGCAAGUCUGAUGGAGCAACGCCGCGUGAGUGAAGAAGGUUUUCGGAUCGUAAAGCUCUGUUGUUGGUGAAGAAGGAUAGAGGCAGUAACUGGUCUUUAUUUGACUGUAAUCAACCAGAAAGUCACGGCUAACUACGUGCCAGCAGCCGCAGUAAUACGUAGGUGGCAAGCGUUGUCCGGAUUUAUUGGGCGUAAAGCGAGCGCAGGCGGAAUGAUAAGUCUGAUGUGAAAGCCCACGGCUCAACCGUGGAACUGCAUCGGAAACUGUCAUUCUUGAGUGCAGAAGGAGAGAGUGGAAUUCCAUGUGUAGCGGUGGAAUGCGUAGAUAUAUGGAAGAACACCAGUGGCGGAGGCGGCUCUCUGGUCUGCAACUGACGCUGAGGCUCGAAAGCAUGGGUAGCGAACAGG
This 429-nucleotide ribosomal RNA is filed under the name bacterium. RNAcentral's name for it is "partial 16S ribosomal RNA". It matches the Rfam family "Bacterial small subunit ribosomal RNA", at positions 355 to 776 of the family's 1533-position model. The record is from RNAcentral.